AUUGAACGCUGGCGGCAGGCCUAAUACAUGCAAGUCGAGCGGACGAAGGGAGCUUGCUCCUGGAUUCAGUGGCGGACGGGCGAGUAAUGCCCAGGUAUCUGCCCGGCAGUGGGGGAUAACGUCCGGACACGGGCGCUAAUCCCGCAUACGUUCUGAUGGAGAAAGUGGGGGAUCUUCGGACCUCACGCUAUUAGAUGAGCCUAGGUCGGAUUAGCUAGUUGGUUGGGUAAAGGCCUACCAAGGCGACGAUCCGUAACUGGUCUGAGAGGAUGAUCAGUCACACUGGAACUGAGACACGGUCCAGACUCCUACGGGAGGCAGCAGUAGGGAAUAUUGGACAAUGGGCGAAAGCCUGAUCCAGCCAUGCCGCGUGAGUGAAGAAGGUCUUCGGAUUGUAAAGCACUUUAAGUUGGGAGGAAGGACAGUAAGUUAAUACCUUACUGUUUUGACGUUACCAACAGAGUAAGCACCGGCUAACUUCGUG
Molecule: ribosomal RNA, 484 nt
Filed under: uncultured bacterium
Lineage: Bacteria
Description: partial 16S ribosomal RNA
Rfam family: Bacterial small subunit ribosomal RNA
Source: RNAcentral